This 230-nucleotide ribosomal RNA is filed under the name uncultured bacterium. RNAcentral's name for it is "partial 16S ribosomal RNA". It matches the Rfam family "Bacterial small subunit ribosomal RNA", at positions 14 to 230 of the family's 1533-position model. The record is from RNAcentral.
GUAUCCUGGCUCAGGAUGAACGCUAGCUACAGGCUUAACACAUGCAAGUCGAGGGGCAGCAUUGGUCUUAGCUUGCUAAGGCUGAUGGCGACCGGCGCACGGGUGAGUAACACGUAUCCAACCUGCCGUCUACUCGUUGGCCAGCCUUCUGAAAGGAAGAUUAAUCCAGGAUGGGAUCAUGAGUUCACAUGUCCGCAUGAUUAAAGGUAUUUUACCGGUAGACGAUGGGG